GACGGACGCUGGCGGCGUGCUUAACACAUGCAAGUCGAACGGAAAGGCCCUGCUUUUGUGGGGUGCUCGAGUGGCGAACGGGUGAGUAACACGUGAGUAACCUGCCCUUUACUUUGGGAUAACUUCAGGAAACUGGGGCUAAUACCGGAUAGGAGCUCCUGCUGCAUGGUGGGGGUUGGAAAGUUUCGGCGGUUGGGGAUGGACUCGCGGCUUAUCAGCUUGUUGGUGGGGUAGUGGCUUACCAAGGCUUUGACGGGUAGCCGGCCUGAGAGGGUGACCGGCCACAUUGGGACUGAGAUACGGCCCAGACUCGUACGGGAGGCAGCAGUGGGGAAUAUUGCACAAUGGGCGGAAGCCUGAUGCAGCAACGCCGCGUGCGGGAUGACGGCCUUCGGGUUGUAAACCGCUUUCGCCUGUGACGAAGCGUGAGUGACGGUAAUGGGUAAAGAAGCACCGGCUAACUACGUG
Molecule: ribosomal RNA, 468 nt
Filed under: uncultured bacterium
Lineage: Bacteria
Description: partial 16S ribosomal RNA
Rfam family: Bacterial small subunit ribosomal RNA
Source: RNAcentral